AUGAACGCUGGCGGCGUGCCUAAUACAUGCAAGUCGAGCGAACAGACGAGGAGCUUGCUCCUCUGACGUUAGCGGCGGACGGGUGAGUAACCCGUGGAUAACCUACCUAUAAGACUGGGAUAACUUCGGGAAACCGGAGCUAAUACCGGAUAAUAUAUUGAACCGCAUGGUUCAAUAGUGAAAGACGGUUUUGCUGUCACUUAUAGAUGGAUCCGCGCCGCAUUAGCUAGUUGGUAAGGUAACGGCUUACCAAGGCAACGAUGCGUAGCCGACCUGAGAGGAUGAUCGGCCACACUGGAACUGAGACACGGUCCAGACUCCUACGGGAGGCAGCAGUAGGGAAUCUUCCGCAAUGGGCGAAAGCCUGACGGAGCAACGCCGCGUGAGUGAUGAAGGUCUUCGGAUCGUAAAACUCUGUUAUUAGGGAAGAACAAAUGUGUAAGUAACUAUGCACGUCUUGACGGUACCUAAUCAGAAAGCCACGGCUAACUACGUG
Molecule: ribosomal RNA, 496 nt
Filed under: uncultured bacterium
Lineage: Bacteria
Description: partial 16S ribosomal RNA
Rfam family: Bacterial small subunit ribosomal RNA
Source: RNAcentral